This 452-nucleotide ribosomal RNA is filed under the name uncultured bacterium. Its description in RNAcentral is "partial 16S ribosomal RNA". It matches the Rfam family "Bacterial small subunit ribosomal RNA", at positions 329 to 794 of the family's 1533-position model. The record is from RNAcentral.
GACCAGACUCCUACGGGAGGCAGCAGUGGGGAAUAUUGGGCAAUGGGCGAAAGCCUGACCCAGCAACGCCGCGUGAAGGAAGAAGGCUUUCGGGUUGUAAACUUCUUUUAUUCGGGACGAAACAAAUGACGGUACCGAAUGAAUAAGCCACGGCUAACUACGUGCCAGCAGCCGCGGUAAUACGUAUGGAGCAAGCGUUAUCCGGAUUUACUGGGUGUAAAGGGAGCGUAGGCGGCCUGCCAAGUCUGAUGUGAAAUACCGGGGCUCAACCCCGGGGCUGCAUUGGAAACUGGCAGGCUGGAGUGUCGGAGAGGCAGGCGGAAUUCCUAGUGUAGCGGUGAAAUGCGUAGAUAUCAGGAGGAACACCGGUGGCGAAGGCGGCCUGCUGGACUGCGACUGACGUUGAGGCCCGAAAGCGUGGGGAGCAAACAGGAUUAGAUACCCCCGUAAAA